RNAcentral lists this ribosomal RNA (124 nucleotides) under Prolemur simus (greater bamboo lemur). The record is from RNAcentral. Lineage: Eukaryota; Metazoa; Chordata; Mammalia; Primates; Lemuridae.
GUCUAUGGCCGUACUACCCUAAACGGGCCUGAUCUCGUCUGAUCUCGGAAGCUAAGCAGGGUCGGGCCUGGUUAGUACUUGGAUGGAAAAGUGCUGUUGCUUCACCAGACCAGGUAACUAAACU